UACGGAAGGCAGCAGUGGGGAAUAUUGCACAAUGGGCGCAAGCCUGAUGCAGCCAUGCCGCGUGUAUGAAAAAGGCCUUCGGGUUGUAAAGUACUUUCAGUCGUGAGGAAGGUGUUAAGGUUAAUAACCUUAGCAAUUGACGUUAGCGACAGAAGAAGCACCGGCUAACUCCGUGCCAGCAGCCGCGGUAAUACGGAGGGUGCGAGCGUUAAUCGGAAUUACUGGGCGUAAAGGGCACGCAGGCGGUUAAUUAAGUUGGAUGUGAAUCCCCGGGCUUAACCUGGGAAUGGCAUUCAAGACUGGUUAGCUAGAGUCUUGUAGAGGGGGUAGAAUUCCAUGUGUAGCGGUGAAAUGCGUAGAGAUGUGGAGGAAUACCGGUGGCGAAGGCGGCCCCGUGGACAAAGACUGACGCUCAUGUGCGAAAGCGUGGGGAGCAAACAGGGAUUAGAUACC
Molecule: ribosomal RNA, 453 nt
Filed under: uncultured bacterium
Lineage: Bacteria
Description: bacterial SSU rRNA
Rfam family: Bacterial small subunit ribosomal RNA
Source: RNAcentral